AGUAAAGGUAGAGGAGCGGUUUUUAUCAGUAUGCAUCUCUUCUCGGAGAAUUGAGAGAUGCAGAAAGGAAAACCCGCCGAAGUUUCAUUAUCUGCUCCGGAGGUAAUGACGCUGGGCCGUAAGAGAACAUCUUGCGGACUGUCACUUUUUAGUGGAGCGCUACCGGAACU
Molecule: non-coding RNA, 170 nt
Organism: Burkholderiales bacterium YL45
Lineage: Bacteria; Pseudomonadati; Pseudomonadota; Betaproteobacteria; Burkholderiales
Source: Rfam